UCCCCCGUGGUGUACUGGCCAACACGCGGGCCGCGGCCCGAACGUCGAGUUCGAUUCUCGACGGGGGCA
RNAcentral lists this transfer RNA (69 nucleotides) under Natrinema salaciae. RNAcentral's name for it is "tRNA_Undet_???". Lineage: Archaea; Methanobacteriati; Methanobacteriota; Halobacteria; Halobacteriales; Natrialbaceae. The record is from RNAcentral.